UGAAUUUUUGAACAAUGACGUUUUUUCACCAAUUGCUUAUCUUGGCUCAAUCAUACAGCAAUCGUUUCUGAUAAGAUGUGGUAUUAUGAUGGGUGUAACCAUUGCAAGUCCAAAGUUGAGCAAAAGUUUGAAACUUAUGAUAAGAAGGAUGGAACAAGUGAUGUUAGAGAUGAGAAGGUGUAUCAAUGUUCGAACAAGGAUUGUCAAGGAAAAGAUGUUUUCCCGUUGUCCAGGUUUAAAAUACCAAUUCGGGUUCAAGAUUCAACCGGUACGGUGACACUUAUAUUGUUUGGUCAUGAGGCGUUGAAGUUUG
Molecule: long non-coding RNA, 313 nt
Organism: Helianthus annuus (common sunflower)
Lineage: Eukaryota; Viridiplantae; Streptophyta; Magnoliopsida; Asterales; Asteraceae
Exons: 3
Source: RefSeq, a predicted model, not a curated record